Molecule: microRNA precursor, 81 nt
Filed under: Callithrix jacchus (white-tufted-ear marmoset)
Lineage: Eukaryota; Metazoa; Chordata; Mammalia; Primates; Cebidae
Also listed under: 1 other name
Description: mir-4672 microRNA precursor family
Rfam family: mir-4672 microRNA precursor family
Source: Rfam by way of RNAcentral
GGCUGCUUCUCGCCUCUGUCCAGCUGUGUGACCUGGGACAAGUCUCUUGGUCACACAGCUGGACAGAGGCGAGAAACAGCC